Molecule: ribosomal RNA, 728 nt
Filed under: uncultured delta proteobacterium
Lineage: Bacteria; Deltaproteobacteria
Description: bacterial SSU rRNA
Rfam family: Bacterial small subunit ribosomal RNA
Source: RNAcentral
UACCAUGCAAGUCGAGCGAGAAAGUCACCUUCGGGUGGCGAGUAGAGCGGCGGACGGGUGAGUAACACGUGGGUAACCUGCCCUUCAGUGGGGGACAACAGCCCGAAGGGGUUGCUAAUACCGCAUACGUCGGCGAUUACCUCGGUAGUCGUCGGGAAAGCCGGGGAUCUUCGGACCUGGCGCUGAAGGAGGGGCCCGCGGCGCAUCAGCUUGUUGGUGGGGUAACGGCCUACCAAGGCAAAGACGCGUAGCUGGUCUGAGAGGAUGAUCAGCCACACUGGGACUGAGACACGGCCCAGACUCCUACGGGAGGCAGCAGUGGGGAAUAUUGGACAAUGGGGGAAACCCUGAUCCAGCCAUGCCGCGUGAGUGAGUAAGGCCCUCGGGUCGUAAAGCUCUGUGGAGAGGGACGAAAGAACGGUAGUUAAUAGCUGCCGGAGUGACGGUACCUCUUUAGCAAGCACCGGCUAACUCCGUGCCAGCAGCCGCGGUAAUACGGAGGGUGCAAACGUUGCUCGGAAUCAUUGGGCGUAAAGCGCGCGUAGGCGGUCCGGUAAGUCGGAUGUGAAAGCCCUCGGCUUAACCGAGGAAGUGCAUUCGAAACUGCCGGACUUGAGUACGGGAGAGGGCUGCGGAAUUCCCGGUGUAGAGGUGAAAUUCGUAGAUAUCGGGAGGAACACCAGUGGCGAAGGCGGCAGCCUGGACCGAUACUGACGCUGAGGUGCGAA